RNAcentral lists this ribosomal RNA (548 nucleotides) under Geotrichum candidum. RNAcentral describes it as "partial large subunit ribosomal RNA". It matches the Rfam family "Eukaryotic large subunit ribosomal RNA", at positions 76 to 664 of the family's 3401-position model. Lineage: Eukaryota; Fungi; Ascomycota; Dipodascomycetes; Dipodascales; Dipodascaceae. The record is from RNAcentral.
UGCCUUAGUAACGGCGAGUGAAGCGGCAAAAGCUCAAAUUUGAAAUCGGCCACCAGGUCGAGUUGUAAUUUGUAGAUUGUAUCUUGAGAGCGGAUUAAAGUCUGUUGGAACACAGCGCCUUAGAGGGUGACAGCCCCGUAAAAUCUACUCAUUGUAAGAUACUUUCGAAGAGUCGAGUUGUUUGGGAAUGCAGCUCUAAGUGGGAGGUAAAUUCCUUCUAAAGCUAAAUAUUGACGAGAGACCGAUAGCGAACAAGUACUGUGAAGGAAAGAUGAAAAGCACUUUGAAAAGAGAGUGAAAAAGUACGUGAAAUUGUUAAAAGGGAAGGGUAUUGAAUCAGACUUGGUGUGUUGUUCAACUGUGUUUCGGCAUAGUGUACUCAGCAGUACUAGGCCAAGGUGGGGUGUUUGGGAGUGAAAAAGAAGUUGGAACGUAACUCUUCGGAGUGUUAUAGCCUACAAAAUUUCAUAGCUCCUCAGGCGCCUCAGGACUGCGCUUCGGCAAGGACCUUGGCAUAAUGAUUCUAUACCGCCCGUCUUGAAACUUGA